AGCCGUUCCUGAAGUGUCAAAUAGUAGGUACUACUCGUAAGAAAAUGUACGUUGAUUUUUAUUUGGCACAUCAGUGACAGCAUG
This 84-nucleotide microRNA precursor is filed under the name Drosophila virilis. RNAcentral describes it as "microRNA dvi-mir-9697 precursor". The record is from miRBase by way of RNAcentral. Lineage: Eukaryota; Metazoa; Arthropoda; Insecta; Diptera; Drosophilidae.